RNAcentral lists this ribosomal RNA (465 nucleotides) under uncultured Enterococcus sp. Its description in RNAcentral is "bacterial SSU rRNA". It matches the Rfam family "Bacterial small subunit ribosomal RNA", at positions 338 to 795 of the family's 1533-position model. Lineage: Bacteria; Bacillati; Bacillota; Bacilli; Lactobacillales; Enterococcaceae. The record is from RNAcentral.
CCUACGGGUGGCUGCAGUAGGGAAUCUUCGGCAAUGGACGAAAGUCUGACCGAGCAACGCCGCGUGAGUGAAGAAGGUUUUCGGAUCGUAAAACUCUGUUGUUAGAGAAGAACAAGGAUGAGAGUAACUGUUCAUCCCUUGACGGUAUCUAACCAGAAAGCCACGGCUAACUACGUGCCAGCAGCCGCGGUAAUACGUAGGUGGCAAGCGUUGUCCGGAUUUAUUGGGCGUAAAGCGAGCGCAGGCGGUUUCUUAAGUCUGAUGUGAAAGCCCCCGGCUCAACCGGGGAGGGUCAUUGGAAACUGGGAGACUUGAGUGCAGAAGAGGAGAGUGGAAUUCCAUGUGUAGCGGUGAAAUGCGUAGAUAUAUGGAGGAACACCAGUGGCGAAGGCGGCUCUCUGGUCUGUAACUGACGCUGAGGCUCGAAAGCGUGGGGAGCAAACAGGAUUAGAUACCCUAGUAGUC